UCCAUUUCAUUUUGUUUUGGCAGUUGUGAAAAAACAGUAGACCGCUGGGAUAGAGCCAGGAGUGCUCCUUUCCAAGAACGAACCAGACGGCCGUGCCCUGACCGCUCGCCCCCCCGGACAUCCGAUGAACGCACUCCUCGAAGCCGUGCUCCUAGUGCUGGGGUUCUGGGGGCCCCGGAUUCACUGAGCUGGGAACCACUUCUGGAGCUACAGCAGGGCUCUGAGAGCUCACAAGGGAGCAGCAAAUGAGGCCUGACUAAAAGGAUGACAAAUGUUGCUGAGAAGGAGCAAAUUGUUCUGGAGGAAUUGCUGCUACCACACAUCUUUGGCGAGGACCAGGACUUUGUGAGUCUGUUAACCACUCUGGAAGCCAGAAAGGUAUUUGUAGACGGAUUCACACAGUGUGAUCUAAUUUAUACCACAAGACCAAAGCCAUCUUAUAAUAACACUUUAGCUGAGCAUUUACUACACACCAGAGACGGCUCUAGGUAAGCAUUUUUUUUUAAGAUUUUAUUUGUUUAUUUGACAGAGAGAGACACAGCGA
Callorhinus ursinus (northern fur seal) is the source of this 544-nucleotide non-coding RNA. The record is from RefSeq and is a predicted model, not a curated record. Lineage: Eukaryota; Metazoa; Chordata; Mammalia; Carnivora; Otariidae.